RNAcentral lists this ribosomal RNA (885 nucleotides) under Triticum aestivum (bread wheat). RNAcentral's name for it is "partial small subunit ribosomal RNA". The record is from RNAcentral. Lineage: Eukaryota; Viridiplantae; Streptophyta; Magnoliopsida; Poales; Poaceae.
AUGGUCGAACUCCCUUUGGAUUCUGAAGAGACUGUUGUCAAACAUCCUGCUGUGGAGCUAGAAAAAGGAGAAAUAGAGUCAAUCAACGUGUGUGCAGGAGAAAAAAGUUGUCCUACUGAUGACAUUCAGGUUGAUGAAUGUACUUUGGAUUAUGAGGUUAUUGUUGUCAAAUCACCUGCAGAGAGUGCAGGAGCAAAACUCACUGCCCUUGCGGAUAAUUUAGCUAUUGUCCCUGUUCUGUCACAUGAAGGUGAGAAAGCUUGGAAGGAAUUCUUCUGCCCUUCAUCUGCUGACGCUCCUUCUAUCACAGUCCCUGCUCCAUGGGUGGAUUUCUUCACUGCAAAACUUUUGUUGCCUGUUGAUUUUGAGUGGGCCAAAGCCAUUUUGCAGUCCAAGUUAUGGGACAUUCUGCAGGAAGGAAGUGAGGAAGCUCUCUCAAGAAAAUUUGUAAUUCCUCAUUCCUGCCCUACUUCCUCACCACCUACAUGCACCCUGUCUGCGGCCUCUUUGGAAGUGACUCAAGGUUUCUCCACCCCUCAGGCUCCAAGGCAUAGCAAUCUUAUUGCUGCUCAUGAAUUGUUCAGCACAUCUGUUUUGCAUAUUCGGAAAAAACAGAAGAAAACACCUCUGGUUACCACGCAUGUCAGGCGAAGUGAGAGAAUUAAAUUGGUCAACCAAGGGCACAAAGGCAAAACUUGCAUUGACAAGCACUAUUUGGCUUGUUCUGCAGAAGCACCACUGCUCAAUAAAAAGAUAGUACAGAACUUGUCAAAUAAGUUUGGGGUUGCUGAUGCUCAGAUCCCAAGCCCUCUGAAGGGGAAGAAGACCACCAAGCCCAAGAACAAGGAUGUCAUGAAGACCAAGCAGCCCCCCAAGAAGAAGUGA